UGGGGAAUAUUGGACAAUGGGCGCAAGCCUGAUCCAGCAAUGCCGCGUGUGUGAAGAAGGCCUUCGGGUUGUAAAGCACUUUUAUCAGGAAGCGAAACGCUGUCGGCUAAUACCCGGCGGAACUGACGGUACCUGAGGAAUAAGCACCGGCUAACUUCGUGCCAGCAGCCGCGGUAAUACGAAGGGUGCAAGCGUUAAUCGGAAUUACUGGGCGUAAAAGCGUGCGUAGGCGGUUUCCUAAGUCUGCUUGUGAAAUCCCCGGGCUCAACCUGGGAAUGGCAGUGGAUACUGGGAGGCUAGAGUGUGUCAGAAGGGUGGUGGAAUUCCCGGUGUAGCGGUGAAAUGCGUAGAGAUCGGGAGGAACAUCAGUGGCGAAGGCGGCCACCUGGGACAACACUGACGCUGAGGCACGAAAGCGUGGGGAGCAAACAGGAUUAGAUACCCUGGUAGUCCACGCCCUAAACGAUGCGAACUGGAUGUGGUCUCAACUCGGAGAUCAGU
Molecule: ribosomal RNA, 501 nt
Filed under: uncultured bacterium
Lineage: Bacteria
Description: partial 16S ribosomal RNA
Rfam family: Bacterial small subunit ribosomal RNA
Source: RNAcentral